UUCUGUUUAUAAUGCGGUAUUAAUUGCUAGGGGAGGCUAGGGAUAGCAAGCCAGUAGUUAAUAUUAGGCUCUUUUCGCCGAGGGAUCGGGUUAAGGGGAGGCUAAGAAAGUCGCAUAACAAUUAAUUAAUCAAAUUAAUAUUCAAGAGGAGUAGGUAAGAAAGAGUGGAUUAGAUGAAAUUGUAAACCCUCAACAACAUCCAUUCAUCCAUUGUUUUCUUUUGUCAAUUGAAUCAACUUUAUUUUGCAUGUUAAUAUUUUUAUUCUCAAACCCAAUUUAUUAAUUUUUAUUUUCAAGUCUUAUUAUUUUAAUUCACGCAAACGAGAAAGUCAUGAGUCUCUUGGGAAAACGAUACUUGGUCUUACCAUUUAUAUU
This 375-nucleotide long non-coding RNA is filed under the name Vigna radiata. RNAcentral's name for it is "long non-coding RNA (VRAD_LNC004059)". The record is from RNAcentral. Lineage: Eukaryota; Viridiplantae; Streptophyta; Magnoliopsida; Fabales; Fabaceae.